GGUGACGAGUGGCGGACGGGUGAGUAAUGUCUGGGAAACUGCCCGAUGGAGGGGGAUAACUACUGGAAACGGUAGCUAAUACCGCAUAAUGUCGCAAGACCAAAGAGGGGGACCUUCGGGCCUCUUGCCAUCGGAUGUGCCCAGAUGGGAUUAGCUAGUUGGUGAGGUAAUGGCUCACCAAGGCGACGAUCCCUAGCUGGUCUGAGAGGAUGACCAGCCACACUGGAACUGAGACACGGUCCAGACUCCUACGGGAGGCAGCAGUGGGGAAUAUUGCACAAUGGGCGCAAGCCUGAUGCAGCCAUGCCGCGUGUGUGAAGAAGGCCUUCGGGUUGUAAAGCACUUUCAGCGGGGAGGAAGGCAAUACGGUUAAUAACCGUGUUGAUUGACGUUACCCGCAGAAGAAGCACCGGCUAACUCCGUGCCAGCAGCCGCGGUAAUACGGAGGGUGCAAGCGUUAAUCGGAAUUACUGGGCGUAAAGCGCACGCAGGCGGUCUGUCAAGUCGGAUGUGAAAUCCCCGGGCUCAACCUGGGAACUGCAUUCGAAACUGGCAGGCUUGAGUCUUGUAGAGGGGGGUAGAAUUCCAGGUGUAGCGGUGAAAUGCGUAGAGAUCUGGAGGAAUACCGGUGGCGAAGGCG
This 640-nucleotide ribosomal RNA is filed under the name Pantoea sp. AIR-NUS-16. RNAcentral's name for it is "bacterial SSU rRNA". It matches the Rfam family "Bacterial small subunit ribosomal RNA", at positions 87 to 723 of the family's 1533-position model. The record is from RNAcentral. Lineage: Bacteria; Pseudomonadati; Pseudomonadota; Gammaproteobacteria; Enterobacterales; Erwiniaceae.